Molecule: transfer RNA, 76 nt
Filed under: Desulfovibrio sp.
Lineage: Bacteria; Pseudomonadati; Thermodesulfobacteriota; Desulfovibrionia; Desulfovibrionales; Desulfovibrionaceae
Also listed under: 4 other names
Description: tRNA-Asn
Rfam family: tRNA
About the family: Transfer RNA (tRNA) molecules are approximately 80 nucleotides in length. Their secondary structure includes four short double-helical elements and three loops (D, anti-codon, and T loops).
Source: RNAcentral
UCCCCGAUAGCUCAAUAGGCAGAGCGGGUGACUGUUAAUCACUAGGUUGGCGGUUCAAGUCCGUCUCGGGGAGCCA